Schistosoma haematobium is the source of this 78-nucleotide non-coding RNA. The record is from Rfam. NCBI's taxonomy places the organism in Eukaryota, Metazoa, Platyhelminthes, Trematoda, Strigeidida, Schistosomatidae.
AGCCUUCUCUAUCCGUGCUGUGAUUUCAUCACACACCAGACCACAAGGGCUGAUGAGACUUCCAAGAUAAGUGAAGCG